RNAcentral lists this ribosomal RNA (500 nucleotides) under uncultured bacterium. RNAcentral's name for it is "partial 16S ribosomal RNA". It matches the Rfam family "Bacterial small subunit ribosomal RNA", at positions 29 to 523 of the family's 1533-position model. The record is from RNAcentral.
AUUGAACGCUGGCGGCAUGCCUUACACAUGCAAGUCGAACGGCAGCACGGGAGCAAUCCUGGUGGCGAGUGGCGAACGGGUGAGUAAUGUAUCGGAACGUGCCCAGUCGUGGGGGAUAACGUAGCGAAAGCUACGCUAAUACCGCAUACGAUCUGUGGAUGAAAGCGGGGGACCGUAAGGCCUCGCGCGAUUGGAGCGGCCGAUAUCAGAUUAGGUAGUUGGUGGGGUAAAGGCCUACCAAGCCGACGAUCUGUAGCUGGGCUGAGAGGACGACCAGCCACACUGGGACUAGGACACGGCCCAGACUCCUACGGGAGGCAGCAGUGGGGAAUCGUGGACAAUGGGCGCAAGCCUGAUCCAGCAAUGCCGCGUGCAGGAUGAAGGCCUUCGGGUUGUAAACUGCUUUUGUACGGAGCGAAAAGGCUCUCUCUAAUACAGGGGGCUCAUGACGGUACCGUAAGAAUAAGCACCGGCUAACUACGUGCCAGCCGCCGCAGUAA